CGCUGGUUCACAAGGGAGGGAGCCGUUAGGACGCACUUGCAGACGUCUUGACAGUCGGUGAUGAAUGGAGGAGGAACAGGAAGGAAGGACGAGAGAAAAGGGAUGCACAACUGAUUUAUGGGCCCCUAACUGGCGUGUCGUGGCAACAGAGAGACGGGCUGAGAGAGAGCAUGGUCCAGGAUGGGGCAAGGUUGGUGCGUGGGAGAGCCACGGAGAAGUAGCAUUGUCGUGAAAAGCAAGAACGUAGAACUGGAAGAGAAAGGCAAGACCACAGGAAGCAACUGUGGCCCAGAGAUGCCAAAGGGCCAGACACCCCUGCUGCAGCCACAGAGUGUCCCCGCCCCCAGGCCCUGCCUGUACAGCCUGGACACCUGGCCCCACUACGGACAUCUCUGCUGCUUCUCUCUGGCAGGACCUGGCGCUGUGACUCAACCUGGUGGAGUCCUUUGCCUGAAAGCUUUUCCUCCUCCGGUUCCUGCCCCGACACACACUCUAUUUAUAUCGCGCUAAGUUGGAAACAGCUCAAAGAGGAAAACAAUAGGAAAACCACUAAGCAAACUCCUAUGGCAAUGGGAGGGGUCAGCUGGGCCACGCUGACGAGAUGUGGAGUCUCACCUCUGCCUCAACUGGCUUGGCCUCUGCUCCCCAAGCAGGCAGCUCUGAUCCCCGGCCUCUGACGACAGUCCCUGCAAACCCACAGAAUGACAGCUCCUUCGGGCCACACGCCUGCAGUGCCCUGGGCGGGCAGGCAUGGCUCCUGGCCCCAGCUGGGAGAGGACGAGAAAGGUUCCAGUCUGGCGCUGCUGGAUGAACCCGGUGUUCUGGUGCCCUCUCUCUCUCUGUCCCUUCUGCCACGGGAGUACCCCCGAGAGAGGAAUCAAGGGGCUUGAAAGAGUGGGCAGAGGAGAGAAUCCUAACAGUUGAGAUGGGGCUCUGCAGAAGCAGGGCAUCCCUCCAGGCACUUCCUCGGGCCGCUUCAAAUAGAUGGCCGAGUGGGGCUGGGUGGUUAGAAUGGGGGCUUCUAUGACUAAGACUUCUGGGGCCCCGGAGGCAAGGGUUUCACACUCUUCCCAACCUGGAACAUAGAUCAGUGGGGAAAAUGUCGCUUCAAACCACAACUUCUUUCUCUAAAGACUUGACCCCGUCAGAGACCUCGGGAUAUAAAAAGGUGGGCUUGUGGGGGAAUUUAGGAGAAAAGCAUUGGUAAGAUUUGAAUUCUCAGCACAGUAGAGAGGAAUCUGGCUUCCCAGAGCCAGUCAAGGAAGGGAGGUAAGAAGGCGGGGUAUGAAGGGAGUAGGAGGGGGAAGGAAGUUGGAUCGGCACAAUGGGCCGGGGAGCUUUGCGCGGUGGUGUGACCAGGGAGCAUUCCCAGGUGACUGGAUAGCCAGAAUAACUUUGCAGAACAUUUCAGAAAUGUGACUUUAAAUUGUUUGCUGUGUGAUGUAAUCCCUCCCCUGCGGCCAACAAAUUUCAUUAAAAGUUGUGCU
Molecule: long non-coding RNA, 1487 nt
Organism: Phyllostomus hastatus (greater spear-nosed bat)
Lineage: Eukaryota; Metazoa; Chordata; Mammalia; Chiroptera; Phyllostomidae
Exons: 3
Source: RefSeq, a predicted model, not a curated record